Molecule: long non-coding RNA, 1722 nt
Organism: Oreochromis niloticus (Nile tilapia)
Lineage: Eukaryota; Metazoa; Chordata; Actinopteri; Cichliformes; Cichlidae
Exons: 3
Source: RefSeq, a predicted model, not a curated record
AGAAAUGCAGUCUCCUUCAAUGUGCAUAUUGAACAAAUAUGUUGGACUGCUUUCUUCAGGCUCUCAUCCACAGCAUGACUUUUGUCAAGCACAUGGCCCCGCCUCCCUGAGCCUGGUUAUACUGGAGGUUUCUUCCUGUUCAAAAAGGGUUUUCCCCUUGCUCGUGGUGGGUCAUAUGAUUUUUGGAGUUUAGAGAAUGAGAUCAUAGAACAAGUUUUAUUACAGUGAGUGACAUGAAAAUGAAGCUUUGUGAUUUACUGUAUUUGUUUGGUUUGACUUUGUCUUUUUGAGUCCACACUCCACACCAGUGGGUGGCAGUAAUAAACCAUUAUUUUGUUUGCCAACCACAAAUAAAAGCAGCAGAAGACCUCAAAGAAGGCGGGAGCACAGCUGAACAUAACACCGCCGCGAGUAAAAGAGAGGCACAGACAGUCUGCAGCUUCCUUCAUUUCACCAUCGAACACUGAAGAGUUUGUAGCAGUGAUUCAGAUUAUUCUGAUCAUCAGAAUGGAUACGGGACGACAGACAUGGUCGCUCAAUCAGCAAGACCUGCGGAUCAAUAUCUGUGGAAGAGAAGUCACAGUCCUAUGGCGGGAAACAGUAAAUUAUCUCAUUGAUAAGACGUAUAGUUUACCUCUUUGGCUUCUUUGUCUUCUUCACUGUGUUAAAAUCGAUGAAGAAACCCUCCUGAAGAAGCUGCUCAGUGGAGCGGUUAGAGGCAGCGCCUGGAUUUGGAGCAAGUUUCAGCGACGCGUCAGCAACGCAAACGCACUUGUAAAGAGGGUAAGAAGCCCCCCAGGACCCAGAGGAAGGAGAUCUGGGCCAUCCACCACCCUCCAAGACUGCCGAAGACCACACGUCUCAACCUGUAGAUGAUGCACACGUCAUGUCAGUCUGCUCAUCUGCAGGAACAGGACACCUAUCAAUGCUUCUGCUGGGUGCUGCCAGCCCGGGCAGAGUGCAGGAACAGGCGUUUAGGAAGACCUUCCCACUCCCACUCAUCAGUGCUACGAAUUAUGGAUUUGAUCAACUGGUCCCUGAAUGGGAUUGACACCCUCUUCUCAAUGAGAAGCCUGGGCUCGGGUGAGCCUGAGUGUCCUGGAGAGACGUUCCCUGCCGAAUACACGAUGGAUGGGUGGCGUAACUGGAGGGUCGUGUGCCUGGCAGGACUGUUGAUCGAGGACAUUGAGGACAUCUACCUUUUCGGAACCAUGAUAACAGGGUUCUUGCUGAUUGAUGCUGGCUUGGACCUGGCUUAUCGACGAUUAAAGAAAGCAGAAUCGGCUGUUCAAACCCCCACAAGGCUGCCUGCUGGGAUUGAAAUGAUGGGACGAGUUGUGACUUCUCAAAAUGGGCUCAUUGAGCGCAGCACGGAAAAGAUCUUGGAGAAGCGUGAGGCUGCCGUGAACACUCAGAAAAAGACCUCUGAGAGAAAAAUGGAUAAUGGAUUAUGGAUUUUCACCACCAUCUUCAACCUCUCACUGCUACAGUCUGUAGUACCAUCCUGCCUUAAGUCAGCCACCAUCGUUCCAGUGCCCAAGAAGAACACAGUGAGCUGCUUGAAUGACGUCCAGUUGCUUUAACACCCAUAAUUGCCAAACGUUUUGAACAGCUCAUCAAGUCACACAUUAAAGCUGCCAUCCCUGCAAACCUCAAUCCACACCAGUAACACCAUUAUAAAAUUUGCUGAUGACACCACUGUCAUAGGACUGAUCAACAACA